AAAUGCGAUAAGUAAUGUGAAUUGCAGAAUUCAGUGAAUCAUCGAAUCUUUGAACGCACAUUGCGCCCGCCAGUAUUCUGGCGGGCAUGCCUGUCCGAGCGUCAUUUCAACCAUCAAGCCCCCGGGCUUGUGUUGGGGACCUGCGGCUGCCCGCAGGCCCUGAAAACCAGUGGCGGGCUCGCUGUCACACCGAGCGUAGUAGCAAUCACCUCGCUCAGGGCGUGCUGCGGGUUCCGGCCGUUAAACAGCCUUACAAAACCCAAGGUUGACCUCGAAUCAGGUAGGAAUACCCGCUGAACUUAAGC
This 305-nucleotide unclassified non-coding RNA is filed under the name plant metagenome. RNAcentral describes it as "partial contains 5.8S ribosomal RNA, internal transcribed spacer 2, and large subunit ribosomal RNA". The stretch from base 1 to 104 matches the Rfam family "5.8S ribosomal RNA", at positions 51 to 154 of the family's 154-position model. The record is from RNAcentral.